This 1517-nucleotide ribosomal RNA is filed under the name Clostridium botulinum. Its description in RNAcentral is "bacterial SSU rRNA". It matches the Rfam family "Bacterial small subunit ribosomal RNA". Lineage: Bacteria; Bacillati; Bacillota; Clostridia; Eubacteriales; Clostridiaceae. The record is from RNAcentral.
UUUAAAUUUAGAGUUUGAUCCUGGCUCAGGACGAACGCUGGCGGCGUGCUUAACACAUGCAAGUCGAGCGAUGAAGCUUCCUUCGGGAAGUGGAUUAGCGGCGGACGGGUGAGUAACACGUGGGUAACCUACCUCAAAGUGGGGGAUAGCCUUCCGAAAGGAAGAUUAAUACCGCAUAAUAUGAGAGAAUCGCAUGAUUUUUUUAUCAAAGAUUUAUCGCUUUGAGAUGGACCCGCGGCGCAUUAGCUAGUUGGUAAGGUAACGGCUUACCAAGGCAACGAUGCGUAGCCGACCUGAGAGGGUGAUCGGCCACAUUGGAACUGAGACACGGUCCAGACUCCUACGGGAGGCAGCAGUGGGGAAUAUUGCGCAAUGGGGGAAACCCUGACGCAGCAACGCCGCGUGGGUGAUGAAGGUCUUCGGAUUGUAAAGCCCUGUUUUCUAGGACGAUAAUGACGGUACUAGAGGAGGAAGCCACGGCUAACUACGUGCCAGCAGCCGCGGUAAUACGUAGGUGGCGAGCGUUGUCCGGAUUUACUGGGCGUAAAGGGUGCGUAGGCGGAUGUUUAAGUGGGAUGUGAAAUCCCCGGGCUUAACCUGGGGGCUGCAUUCCAAACUGGAUAUCUAGAGUGCAGGAGAGGAAAGCGGAAUUCCUAGUGUAGCGGUGAAAUGCGUAGAGAUUAGGAAGAACACCAGUGGCGAAGGCGGCUUUCUGGACUGUAACUGACGCUGAGGCACGAAAGCGUGGGUAGCAAACAGGAUUAGAUACCCUGGUAGUCCACGCCGUAAACGAUGGAUACUAGGUGUAGGGGGUAUCAACUCCCCCUGUGCCGCAGUUAACACAAUAAGUAUCCCGCCUGGGGAGUACGGUCGCAAGAUUAAAACUCAAAGGAAUUGACGGGGGCCCGCACAAGCAGCGGAGCAUGUGGUUUAAUUCGAAGCAACGCGAAGAACCUUACCUGGACUUGACAUCCCUUGCAUAGCCUAGAGAUAGGUGAAGCCCUUCGGGGCAAGGAGACAGGUGGUGCAUGGUUGUCGUCAGCUCGUGUCGUGAGAUGUUAGGUUAAGUCCUGCAACGAGCGCAACCCUUGUUAUUAGUUGCUACCAUUAAGUUGAGCACUCUAAUGAGACUGCCUGGGUAACCAGGAGGAAGGUGGGGAUGACGUCAAAUCAUCAUGCCCCUUAUGUCCAGGGCUACACACGUGCUACAAUGGUAGGUACAAUAAGACGCAAGACCGUGAGGUGGAGCAAAACUUAUAAAACCUAUCUCAGUUCGGAUUGUAGGCUGCAACUCGCCUACAUGAAGCUGGAGUUGCUAGUAAUCGCGAAUCAGAAUGUCGCGGUGAAUACGUUCCCGGGCCUUGUACACACCGCCCGUCACACCAUGAGAGCUGGUAACACCCGAAGUCCGUGAGGUAACCGUAAGGAGCCAGCGGCCGAAGGUGGGAUUAGUGAUUGGGGUGAAGUCGUAACAAGGUAGCCGUAGGAGAACCUGCGGCUGGAUCACCUCCUUUCUA